AUCAAAGCUGACUUAAGCUCAGGAACAGAAUGCAAGCACUGUAAAGUUGAAUUCAUGUAACAUGUGUUUCCCAAAUUAAACAAGCCAGCGCUGUGACCCACUGCAAUAACUUGUUCAUCUUCAGGAAGAUCUUCUAUAAAGACAGGGCCCUUCUCUGGGGCCUUAACAAUCUCAUCUGCUGUGCCCAUCAUCAUUAAUUUUUGACCCUCUUUUACUCCUACCGUCGCCCAAUCUGCAUCAUCCUUCAGUAUACCACCCUUAACCAUAAUCUUCUGCCUUUCAGGAGGUACACCUGUGAGUUCAAACAACUGGCCCUUGAAAACAUAUGGGGGCAGACUGGUG
RNAcentral lists this unclassified non-coding RNA (342 nucleotides) under Hevea brasiliensis (rubber tree). Lineage: Eukaryota; Viridiplantae; Streptophyta; Magnoliopsida; Malpighiales; Euphorbiaceae. The record is from RNAcentral.